Molecule: ribosomal RNA, 466 nt
Filed under: uncultured bacterium
Lineage: Bacteria
Description: partial 16S ribosomal RNA
Rfam family: Bacterial small subunit ribosomal RNA
Source: RNAcentral
GAUGAGCGCUGGCGGCGUGCUUAACACAUGCAAGUCGAACGGAAAGGCUCCUGCUUGCAGGGGUACUCGAGUGGCGAACGGGUGAGUAACACGUGGGUGAUCUGCCCUGCACUUCGGGAUAAGCCUGGGAAACUGGGUCUAAUACCGGAUAGGACGAUGGUUUGGAUGCCAUUGUGGAAAGUUUUUUCGGUGUGGGAUGAGCUCGCGGCCUAUCAGCUUGUUGGUGGGGUAAUGGCCUACCAAGGCGUCGACGGGUAGCCGGCCUGAGAGGGUGUACGGCCACAUUGGGACUGAGAUACGGCCCAGACUCCUACGGGAGGCAGCAGUGGGGAAUAUUGCACAAUGGGCGCAAGCCUGAUGCAGCGACGCCGCGUGGGGGAUGACGGCCUUCGGGUUGUAAACUCCUUUCGCUAGGGACGAAGCGCAAGUGACGGUACCUGGAGAAGAAGCACCGGCUAACUACGUG